Molecule: long non-coding RNA, 1869 nt
Filed under: Sus scrofa (pig)
Lineage: Eukaryota; Metazoa; Chordata; Mammalia; Artiodactyla; Suidae
Description: lncRNA (ENSSSCG00025001012.1)
Source: RNAcentral
GCGAGAGUCUGCCAGUGAAGGACGCGGUCCGGCAAUUUAUUGGUUUUUUUUUUUUUCUUUCUUUCUUUUUUUUUUUCUUUUUCCUUUGGUAGUUUUAAUUGGUACUUUGGGCCAGAAGGCGGGGCCUCACUGAGAAAGGAAACUGGCUGAGCAGACACUCUCUGCGUAGGAUCAUCAUGCCGAGCAUAAACUGGACUUUCCCACUUGCCUGGCAGGAGUGAGACAGAUCACUGUGUGCUAAAUGAGCAUCUGAGCAGAGAAGGAAUGAAUGCUGCAUAAUUAAGUACAGUAUUUAAUUUGGCUGUUGUGAAGCAAAAGAAUAAGAGCUCCUGGGCUGUCAUGUAUGAACAACCAAGCGAAUGGAGUGGAGGCAGAGGAGUUAAUGACCAUGGAGGCAUUUAUGGCUAAUAGGGAAUAUACCAGGAGCGAGGUAUGAAGUACACAAUAAGCAGAGUGAAGUAGAGUGCCAUUUAUCAAACACCGGCCAGAUGUCCUUGGUGUGUGCAUCCCUGUGGAAUCUGGUUCAUCUCCAAUCUGUCAGAAAGCAUCAGAGGUGGUUUUGAGUCCUUAUGUCCUGAGCCUGUGGACAAAAUGUACCUUGUGUGGAGGAAAAUGAGAUCCCGAGUGAAGUCUACAAUGUCAUUGACUCUGAAGAAGGACUCAGAGACCCAUUGGUGUUUAAUGACCCUUACUGGCCUAUGCAAUGGGAACUGGUAAGAUCUUUGGAAAUAGAUGGUUCUUUGGCAAUGUUAAGAAAUAUUAUUUUCGUCAUGUUUUAAUGCAGUAGACAGACACUUUUAUGCACUGCCUGCUUUUAUCUAUUGAUUUUGCAGAAAGAGACUUAGCAAACUUUUGAUGAAAUAUUACUGCCAGCUUAUUAGUGAGCACUAAUCUCUUUAAUUUGAUUACAUCCUUAGGGUUUGAUUUAGCCUAUAAAAGAUAUCAGUGAAAAACCUAAGACAUUUAAAUUUGGUAUAUGUAAACAGGCUCAUUACAUAGAAAUGUGGUUGCCAUUCAGGCUUGAAGUUCCUCUUUUUGCAUAACCAGAAUAUAUUCUAUAUUACUUCAAUAAUGAGGGAGAGAACUCUUUAUAGAAUAAGUGAAUGUUAGAACAUUGCACAACAAACUUUUUUCAUAAUGCUUAGAGUGUUGGACAUUUUAUGAAUACAUUGUUUUGUCAUUUAUACAUGACCGUGACAAUGGAAAAAGGUCUGAUAAAAGCACACAUCGUUUUUGAGCAUUAAUACAUUUUAAAAAGUUGAAGUUGGUAGCACUAAAUAUUUUAAAAGGAAGUAUUUGGAAUGUGAAGGUGACAUAGUGAUAAUAUAAAAGAGAAGUUGAAGACCUUGUUGUAUCCAUACUUAGCUCCUCAUAGGUUUGUAAACUAUAUUGUGUUGUAGAUGGUCUUGUGUUAUAAAAUGAGGAAAAGGUUAGGUGCAUGUCAUCAUUUUCAUAGAAAUAACGAGGUUAAAGGGGGAAAACUUACAGUAGCUUUUUUGUUUUUUUACGCUGAUUAUUGGCAGUUACCAAGCUUACUAUCUGAAAAGAGUAGAAAACCCAUGUUGAAAAAUGUCCAGGUCACUUUUCUGUAGUUUCAAUUCAUCUUUAAAAAGUGAAACAAGGAGUUCCUGUCGUGGCUCAGUGGUUUACGAAUCCAGCUAGGAAUCAUGAGUUUGGGGGUUCGAUCCCUGGCCUUGCUCAGUGGGUUAAAGGAUCCGGCAUUGCAGUGAGCUGUGGUGUAGGUCACAGAUGCAGCUCGGAUCUGGGGUUGCCGUGGCUCUGAGGUAGGCCGGCAGCAACAGCCCUGAUUCGAUCCCUAGCCUGGAAACCUCCUUGUGCCACGGGUGUGGCCCCAGAAAAGAGAAAAAG